AGAAGCUAAGAAAGGGCGUACGGAGGAUGCCUAGGUAGUAAAAGCCGAAGAAGGACGUGAUAAGCUGCGAAAAGCUUGGUGUAGUUGCACAUGAACGAAAAAGCCAAGAUGUCCGAAUGGGAGAACCCGUAUAUUAGAAGAAUAUACACGAAAGAGGUAAGCCUGUGAACUGAAACAUCUAAGUAACAGGAGGAAAAGAAAGUAAAAACGAUUUUCUAAGUAGCGGCGAGCGAACGGGAAAGAGCCUAAACCAUAGUGGUGUAAGUUGGCACGUUGCCAUUAUGGGGUAGAGGGGAUAACAAGAUACUAAUAGCCAUAAAGUAUAAAUAACUAAGCUGUAAGAAGAACAUAGUUGGAAAGCUAGACCGAAGAAGGUGAUAGUCCUGUAGAUUGUAAAAGUAAAAGUUAUUAAGUUAUACCCCGAGUAGCAUCAAGCACGAGGAAUUUGGUGUGAAUCAGUGAGGACCAUAUCUCAUAAGGCUAAAUACUUUUACUAACCGAUAGUGUAGAGUACCGUGAGGGAAAGGUGAAAAGAACCCCGAGAAGGGGAGUGAAAUAGAAUUUGAAACCGUACGCUUACAAGCGGUAGGAGCAGGGUAACCUGUAACUGCGUGGAUUUUGGUUAAUCAUCCUGCGAGUUAUGAUGUGUGGCGAGGUUAAGUAAAAGCGGAGCCGAAGGGAAACCGAGUCUUAAUAGGGCGACGAGUCGCAUGUCAUAGACGCGAAACCUAGUGAUCUAGGCCUGUCCAGGCUGAAGCUGAGGUAAGACUCAGUGGAGGGCCGAACUCACCGCCGUUGAAAAGUUGGGAGAUGAGAUAGGUCUAGGGGUGAAAAGCCAAUCGAACUAGGAGAUAGCUCGUUCUCUCCGAAAUGCAUUUAGGUGCAGCCUUAAUCUAAUAUAUGUGGGGGUAGAGCACUGUAUGACCUAGGGGGCGUAUAGCUUACUGAAGUCAAGCAAACUACGAAUACCAUAUAUAAAUAAUUAGGAGUGAGUCUAUGGAUGACAAGGUCCAUAGACGAGAGGGAAAAAGCCCAGAACAACAGCUAAGGUCCCCAAUUAUGUCUAAGUGGGAAAGGAGGUGGAUAUUCAAAGACAACCAGGAGGUUGGCUUAGAAGCAGCCAUACCUUAAAAGAGUGCGUAAUAGCUCACUGGUCGAGAGUAUCUGCGCCGAAGAUUUAACGGGGCUAAGACAUAAACCGAAGCUUUGUAAUAUGAUGAAUAUCAUGUUGGUAGGAGAGCGUUCUGUAAGCCGUAGAAGGAGGAUUGAAAGAGAAUCUGGAGGUAUCAGAAGUGAGAAUGCAGGAAUGAGUAGCGAGAAAGUGGGCGAGAAUCCCACUGACCGGAAGUCCAAGGAUUCCAGGGGAAGGUUUGUCCGCCCUGGGGGAGUCGGGACCUAAGGAUAAACAGAAAUGUGAAGCCGAAUGGAAAAUAGGUAAAUAUUCCUAUACCACUCAAUUAACGUUUGAAGGAAUGGAGUAACGCAGGAAGGUAUGUAAGAAGACUGACGGAAUAGUCUUUCUAAGGAGAAAGCAUGGAUAUAUAGGCAAAACCGUAUAUCUAAAUGUGAGAACUGAUGGGUAAGCAUAUGUAGCGUAUGUAAGUUACAAAUCCUAUACUGCCGAGAAAAACUUCUACCAAGGAGAUUGAGUGCCCGUACCGUAAACCGACACAGGUGGACAGGGUGAGAAACCUAAGGUCGACAGGCUAACUCUAGCUAAGGAACUCUGCAAAAUAGCCCCGUAACUUCGGGAGAAGGGGUACCUAUGAAAGUGAGUAAAGAGACAUUACAAGCAAGAGUAGGUCGCAGUGAAGAGUCCCAAGCAACUGUUUACCAAAAACACAGGUCUAUGCUAAGCUGAAAGGCGACGUAUAUGGGCUGACACCUGCCCAGUGCCGGAAGGUUAAGAGGAGGGUUGAGAGACUCAAAUUGAAGCCCCGGUGAACGGCGGCCGUAACUAUAACGGUCCUAAGGUAGCGAAAUUCCUUGUCGGGU
Molecule: ribosomal RNA, 1995 nt
Filed under: human oral metagenome
Description: bacterial LSU rRNA
Rfam family: Bacterial large subunit ribosomal RNA
Source: RNAcentral